CAGUCGCCACGGUAAUGCGUAGGUGGCAAGCGUUGUCCGGAAUUAUUGGGCGUAAAGGGCUCGCAGGCGGUUUCUUAAGUCUGAUGUGAAAGCCCCCGGCUCAACCGGGGAGGGUCAUUGGGAACUGGGAAACUUGAGUGCAGAAGAGGAGAGUGGAAUUCCACGUGUAGCGGUGAAAUGCGUAGAGAUGUGGAGGAACACCAGUGGCGAAGGCGACUCUCUGGUCUGUAACUGACGCUGAGGAGCGAAAGCGUGGGGAGCGAACAGGAUUAGAUACCCGCGUAGUCCCUGUCUCUUAUAC
This 301-nucleotide ribosomal RNA is filed under the name uncultured bacterium. Its description in RNAcentral is "partial 16S ribosomal RNA". It matches the Rfam family "Bacterial small subunit ribosomal RNA", at positions 509 to 807 of the family's 1533-position model. The record is from RNAcentral.